CUACGGGGUGCACCAGUGAGGAAUAUUGCACAAUGGGGGGAACCCUGAUGCAGCAACGCCGCGUGGAGGAUGACGCAUUUCGGUGUGUAAACUCCUUUUAUAUGUCAAGAAAAUGACGGUAGCAUAUGAAUAAGCACCGGCUAACUCCGUGCCAGCAGCCGCGGUAAUACGGAGGGUGCAGGCGUUACUCGGAAUCACUGGGCGUAAAGGACGCGUAGGCGGGUUGGAAAGUCAGGUGUGAAAUCCUACAGCUUAACUGUAGAACUGCACUUGAAACUUCUAAUCUAGAGUAUGGGAGGGGGAGAUGGAAUUAGUGGUGUAGGGGUAAAAUCCGUAGAUAUCACUAGGAAUACCUAAAGCGAAGGCGAUCUCCUGGAACAUUACUGACGCUAAGGCGUGAAAGCGUGGGGAGCAAACAGGAUUAGAUACUCGAGUAGUC
This 439-nucleotide ribosomal RNA is filed under the name uncultured bacterium. RNAcentral describes it as "partial 16S ribosomal RNA". It matches the Rfam family "Bacterial small subunit ribosomal RNA", at positions 339 to 795 of the family's 1533-position model. The record is from RNAcentral.